This 471-nucleotide ribosomal RNA is filed under the name uncultured bacterium. Its description in RNAcentral is "bacterial SSU rRNA". It matches the Rfam family "Bacterial small subunit ribosomal RNA", at positions 355 to 825 of the family's 1533-position model. The record is from RNAcentral.
UCGCGAAUCAUUCACAAUGGACGCAAGUCUGAUGAUGCCACGCCGCGUGCGGGAUGAAGGCCCUUUGGGUUGUAAACCGCUGUCAAGGGAGGGGAAACACCUAGUGUUAACAGCGCUAGGCUUGACUGCUCCCUAAAGGAAGCCCCGGNAAAACAUGUGCCAGCAGCCGCGGUAAUACAUGUGGGGCAAGCGUUGUUCGGAAUUACUGGGCAUAAAGGGUGCGUAGGCGGUUUGUUAAGUCACUGGUGAAAGUUUGCGGCCCAACCGUAAAAUUGCCUGUGAUACUGGCGAACUUGAGUGCGUGAGGGGUAGGGGGAACGAGCAGUGUAGCGGUGAAAUGCGUAGAUAUUGCUCGGAAGGCCGGAGCCGAAGGGGCCCUACUGGUACGUAACUGACGCUGAGGCACGAAAGCGUGGGGAGCAAACAGGAUUAGAUACCCUCGUAGUCCCUGAGCGGGCUGGCAAGGCGCAU